RNAcentral lists this long non-coding RNA (2647 nucleotides) under Heterocephalus glaber (naked mole-rat). RNAcentral's name for it is "lncRNA (ENSHGLG00000046768.1)". The record is from RNAcentral. Lineage: Eukaryota; Metazoa; Chordata; Mammalia; Rodentia; Bathyergidae.
CAGGUUUCAAGGAGACAGCCUUCCUGUAUGCAGUGUCCAUGGCCGCCCUCACCCAUGCACUGGCCCGGGCCUGCAGUGCUGGGCGAAUGGAGCGCUGCACCUGCGAUGACUCCCCAGGCCUGGAAAGCCGGCAAGCCUGGCAGUGGGGUGUGUGUGGUGACAACCUCAGGUACAGCACCAAGUUUCUGACCAACUUCCUGGGCCCCAAGAGAGGAAGCAAGGACCUGCGGGCUCGGGCUGAUGCCCACAACACCUAUGUGGGCAUCAAGGCGGUGAAGAGUGGCCUCCGGACCACCUGCAAGUGCCACGGAGUGUCAGGAUCCUGUGCUGUGCGCCACCUGCUGGAAGCAGCUCUCCCCAUUCCGUGAGACAGGCCAGGUGCUGAAGCUGCGCCUAUGACUCAGCUGUCAAGGUGUCUAGUGCCACCAACGAGGCUUUGGGCCACCUGGAGCUGUGGGCACCUGCCAAGCCAGGUGGCCCUGCCAAAGGCCUGGCACCCCGGCGGUUGACCUGGUCUACAUGGAGGACUCCCCCAGCUUCUGCCGGCCCAGCAAGUAUUCUCCAGGCACAGCUGGCAGGGUGUGUUCCCGGGAGACCAGCUGCAGCAGCUUGUGCUGUGGGCGUGGCUAUGACACCCAGAGCCGCCUGGUGGCCUUCUCCUGCCACUGCCAGGUUCAGUGGUGCUGCUAUGUGGAAUGCCAGCAGUGCAUGCAGCAGGAGCUUGUGUACACCUGUAAGCGCUAGGCACUGCAUGGUGAGCCAGCCCAUGCUGCCAGGACCUUGGCCCUGUGGAACAGCUGUACACAAUGUGUAUGGACAAUGAUGGACAUGCCUGUGCACAUGUGUGCCACUCCUCACUUUUCUGUCCCCACUCCACCCUUGGCCAGCCUCUUGCCUCCCAUAGUACUCAGCAAACUGAAGCAAAGUGUCCUCCCCUGAGUCCAAGGGUCUCCAACCUUGUUGAGGAUUUGGAGCAGAAGAGCAUAGUAGGAAGCAAUAUGGAGGGAAAUAAAGGAGACCUAGAGGAGGGCAGGAGUGAGGUUGUGGAGAGAAGGAGGGGUAUCCUGCCAUCUCCCAUUCCCAGGAUGCGUGGCCCAGAGCCAGCAAGCCGCUGGGAUUAUGCAGGAGAAACAGUGCCAGCUGGAAGCCUAGGCAGGCGCCCAGCUGGGAUGGGUAAGUUCAGUCCUCUGGCCCUGCUCGGAUUGCAGUGUGAGGUCUGGGUGCCAUACAUCCACACUACUCUGGUGGUGGUGCUAGGAGCUGUUUGGAGCAAGGAAAUCUUUCUGGGUUUAGUGGAAUCAAGUUAGAUCCAUGCCCUUGAGCCUCAUGUCCUUGAUUUGAUUUUUCAAACCUAGUUGCACUGAGACUUCAUUCUUUUCUCCAUAGCUGAAUUUCUCACAGCUAUCCAGCUCUGUUCAAUGAGACUUCUAGGCAGAUGAGAAUGGUGGGAGAGCUAGCUGCCAGAGUGGGACUCAAACAGUGUACCUGCAGCUGGGGAAGAAGACAGUGAGCCCUUUCCGUUUUCCCUGGUAGUCAAAGCAAACUGAUGGCAACCCAGAGGAGGGUAACGGUCACUUGGUGCCAGCAGGGAUGCAGCAAGGUCAGUGUAUCAGCUUGCCCUGGAGUGUAUUCUGGCCGGCCCCUGUGGCUGUGGUCCACCUGGGCUGGGAGGCCCCACAGCUGCUGACAUUCGUGUUGCUGAAGGACCUUAGACUCAUGAUCUGUGGUUCUGGUUACAUGUCUGUUCUCAUGGCUGCUUGUCUAAUUCAGGCUUUUGUCCCGGCAGAGUCUGCUAGGCCUGCCUUCUUGGUGGCCCCUUCAUUUAGUAAUAGCCCCUUACUUGGGCCCCAACUUGAGGAAUAGAAGUGACUUUGCUAACUAACUUCCUUGGACCUGUGGACAUUUCCAGUACUACCUUCCAAGACCCUGAGUAGAAGGAGAAAAGAAACUGCAUCCAUUUGUAGGCACACACAGAUGCCUGCACCACUGGGAUCAGGUAGAGGGUUUCCAGGGAGCAGUGCACAUCUCUGUCCCAGGACAAAGAUCUUGCAGGGGUCAGUUUGCUGGAGGCUGUAUGCUUCCCAAGAGCAGAGCCUGAGGCCAGCAGGGGGGACGUGACCUCCUUUGGGAAGUUUAUAGCUGCUUGGCUGGCCUGCUGUGCCCUCUUGUACGCUUCCUUUCUCCCCUGAACCCCGGGCUGCUGACCCUCUGCAGCAACAGGAAAUCCAGAAUCAGCCAAGUGCACAGAACCCUUAGCAAUUCCAGCUCCAGGAAGCAGGCCAGUGGCUGGGCCCAACAGCCUCCCUGAGACCUUCACAGCCACAGGAGCCACCCUCUUUGGUGACUUAAGGCAGUCUGGGAAUGCUGGAAGGAUCUCUGAUGGUAGAGCCAAACUGACUUGACACCCCUUGCGAGAAUGACUUUGCUGACCCUGGCAGCUGGCCCACAUCUUAGCCCAAGGAGAAAAAGGGUUGCAGCCUGGUUUUCUAGUUUUGUUCCACUCUUCUCUGUGUGGAAACUUGUUCUUUGCCAGCCUGAUCCAUCUUGCUGCUCUGUGACUCCAACACUGCCUCUACCUUGGCUCAGCCCUGGGCUGCACUGGCAGAAAGGCACUUGGAAGCAAUGUGAGGGCUAAGGCACCCUGAUC